Molecule: non-coding RNA, 691 nt
Organism: Camellia sinensis
Lineage: Eukaryota; Viridiplantae; Streptophyta; Magnoliopsida; Ericales; Theaceae
Source: RefSeq, a predicted model, not a curated record
UUAUUUGGUUCUAAAUUGUCUGGUGGUGAAUAAUUUGGUCUUUGAACAUCAUUACAGCGACCAUUCAGUGAACGGUGGAUUAUACUUGAAAAUGAAGUGAUCUGUGGAAGAUGAAGAUUUAUUUCAUUACUUUCUGCACUCAAUGAUUACAUUACAGUAGAGAUGAUAUUUAUAACUAACACACACGAACUAACUAAUUCACUAACAAACACUUCUAACUAAUUAACAAACUUUACAACUGUUACAGAUAUUAUAAUGAGGACUGCUAUCAAUACAGGACUGUGAUAGACAACAUAUCAAUGCUGAUUCUGAUGCAGUAGGGAGCUGCCGUGACUGAUGAGUAAACUAUUGAGAUGCAGUUGAGCUACUGCAGUGACUGAUGAGGCUUGGACUGAGUGAACUGAUGAAGCUUGGACUGAGGGAACUGUGGAAAUGCAGAGUCAGUUACAGAGGCAGUUACAGAUGGAAUCUUAUCAUGAUCAAACCUCGAAACAGUGAGCGUGACUUUUUGUACAAGAGCAGAAAUCCAUACUACAGAUACGACUUGGAGUCAUUCAGGGUGAGGAGGAAGGAUUUUUAUUUGCUGUCUACAGUUACUAAGCUUUUAAAGGAAUUUAUUCCAAGACUUUCACAUGCAGCAGAUGGUCUUAUAUUCCAGGUUCUUAAGGAUUAUUUUUUGGUAGCUUUAUUA